This 195-nucleotide unclassified non-coding RNA is filed under the name plant metagenome. Its description in RNAcentral is "partial contains small subunit ribosomal RNA, internal transcribed spacer 1, and 5.8S ribosomal RNA". The record is from RNAcentral.
GCUCCGUUGGUGAACCGGCGGAGGGAUCAUUACCGAGUUUACAACUCCCAAACCCCUGUGAACAUACCAUUUAUUGCCUCGGCGGUGCCUGCUGCGGCAGCCCGCCAGAGGACCCAAACCCUUGAUUUUAUACAGUAUCUUCUGAGUAAAUGAUUAAAUAAAUCAAAACUUUCAACAACGGAUCUCUUGGUUCUG